GACGAACCACACGAACGUUAUUCGGAAUUACUGGGCUUAAAGGGUGCGUAGGUGGGCAGGUAAGUCAGUGGUGAAAUCUCCGGGCUUAACCCGGAAACUGCCAUUGAUACUAUCAGUCUUGAAUACCGUGGAGGUAAGCGGAAUAUGUCAUGUAGCGGUGAAAUGCUUAGAUAUGACAUAGAACACCAAUUGCGAAGGCAGCUUACUACCCGAAUAUUGACACUGAGGCACGAAAGCGUGGGGAUCAAACAGG
This 253-nucleotide ribosomal RNA is filed under the name uncultured bacterium. RNAcentral's name for it is "partial 16S ribosomal RNA". It matches the Rfam family "Bacterial small subunit ribosomal RNA", at positions 524 to 776 of the family's 1533-position model. The record is from RNAcentral.